RNAcentral lists this ribosomal RNA (415 nucleotides) under uncultured prokaryote. RNAcentral's name for it is "bacterial SSU rRNA". It matches the Rfam family "Bacterial small subunit ribosomal RNA", at positions 505 to 918 of the family's 1533-position model. The record is from RNAcentral.
GUGUCAGCCGCCGCGGUAAGACGUAGGGGGCAAGCGUUGCUCGGAAUCACUGGGCUUAAAGGGCGCGUAGGCGGUUGUGUAAGUCCAGGGUUGAAGGCCCCGGCUCAACCGGGGAAAGGCCUUGGAGACUGCAUGACUUGAGUGAGCGAGGGGAGGGCGGAAUUCCUGGUGUAGCGGUGAAAUGCGUAGAUAUCAGGAGGAAGGCCUGUGGCGAAGGCGGCCCUCUGGCGCUCAACUGACGCUGAGGCGCGAAAGCGUGGGUAGCAAACAGGAUUAGAUACCCUGGUAGUCCACGCCCUAAACGAUGGGCACUUGGUGUCGCGGGUGUCGAUCCCUGCGGUGCCGGAGCAAACGCGUUAAGUGCCCCGCCUGGGGAGUACGGUCGCAAGGCUGAAACUUAAAGGAAUUGACGGGG